CGGUUAUGCAAGACAGGUGUGAAAUCCCCGGGCUCAACCUGGGAACUGCACUUGUGACUGCAUGACUAGAGUACGGCAGAGGGGGGUGGAAUUCCUGGUGUAGCAGUGAAAUGCGUAGAUAUCAGGAGGAACACCGAUGGCGAAGGCAGCCCCCUGGGCCUGUACUGACGCUCAUGCACGAAAGCGUGGGGAGCAAACAG
RNAcentral lists this ribosomal RNA (200 nucleotides) under uncultured bacterium. Its description in RNAcentral is "partial 16S ribosomal RNA". It matches the Rfam family "Bacterial small subunit ribosomal RNA", at positions 576 to 775 of the family's 1533-position model. The record is from RNAcentral.